AUUUAUAUAAUAUAAAAAUUAUAUUUAACUUCCAAUUAAAAAAUCUAGCGUAUAGUAUAAAUA
RNAcentral lists this transfer RNA (63 nucleotides) under Proegmena sp. BMNH 846583. RNAcentral's name for it is "tRNA-Gly". The record is from RNAcentral. Lineage: Eukaryota; Metazoa; Arthropoda; Insecta; Coleoptera; Chrysomelidae.